Molecule: unclassified non-coding RNA, 433 nt
Filed under: soil metagenome
Description: partial contains 5.8S ribosomal RNA, internal transcribed spacer 2, and large subunit ribosomal RNA
Rfam family: 5.8S ribosomal RNA (bases 1-120)
Source: RNAcentral
GAUGAAGAACGUAGCGAAAUGCGAUACGUAAUGUGAAUUGCAGAAUUCAGUGAAUCAUCGAAUCUUUGAACGCAUAUUGCGGUCUCUGGUAUUCCGGAGAGCAUGCUUGUUUGAGUAUCAGUAAACACCUCAACUUCCAUAUCUUUUUUGAAAUGGGAGUUGGACUUGAGUGAUCCCAACGCUUUUCCUCACCGAAAAGUGGCGGGUUACUUGAAAUGCAGGUGCAGCUGGACUUUUCUCUGAGCUAUAAGCAUAUCUAUUUAGUCUGCCUAAAAAACAGAUUAUUACCUUUGCUGCAGCUAACAUAAAGGAGAUUAGUUCUUGUGCUGACUGAUGCAGGAUUCACAAAGACAGGCUUCGGCCGACUUUGUAAACUCGAUCUCAAAUCAAGUAAGACUACCCGCUGAACUUAAGCAUAUCAAUAAGCGGAGGA